GACGAACGCUGGCGGCGUGCUUAACACAUGCAAGUCGAACGGUGAAGGGGUCUGCUUUUGUGGUCCCUGGAUGAGUGGCGAACGGGUGAGUAACACGUGAGUAACCUGCCCCCUUCUUCUGGAUACCCGCAUGAAAGUGUGGCUAAUACGGGAUAUUCUGGGUCUGUCGCAUGAUGUGUCUGGUAAAGGUUGCGCCUUUGGGUGUUUUUGGUGGUGGAUGGGCUCGCGGCCUAUCAGCUUGUUGGUGGGGUGAUGGCCUACCAAGGCGGUGACGGGUAGCCGGCCUGAGAGGGUGGACGGUCACACUGGGACUGAGACACGGCCCAGACUCCUACGGGAGGCAGCAGUGGGGAAUAUUGCAGAAUGGGCGCAAGCCUGAUGCAGCGACGCCGCGUGAGGGAUGGAGGCCUUCGGGUUGUAAACCUCUGUCGCCAGUGAAGCAGGCCUGCUCGUUGUGGGUGGGUUGACGGUAGCUGGAUAAGAAGCGCCGGCUAACUACGUG
This 502-nucleotide ribosomal RNA is filed under the name uncultured bacterium. Its description in RNAcentral is "partial 16S ribosomal RNA". It matches the Rfam family "Bacterial small subunit ribosomal RNA", at positions 28 to 507 of the family's 1533-position model. The record is from RNAcentral.